Long non-coding RNA from Homo sapiens (human), 1093 nucleotides. The record is from Ensembl. NCBI's taxonomy places the organism in Eukaryota, Metazoa, Chordata, Mammalia, Primates, Hominidae.
ACAGAUAUUUGGAUUUUAUUUUGGCAGACAGUUUAGCUACUUUUAGACCAACUUGAUUCUUUUGAGGUUUGUUUUUAGCACAGGUCUGCAGUAGCCUCAGUCUAGCCCUAAUACUUCUGGGGUCUUUUCUGAAUGCCCUGCUUGUUCUGAGAUUUCUACACCACAAUUGAAAGUGAAUUCAAAAAAGCUGGAGAGGAGACGCAUCAGGUCAGAAGGGAUUUGCUGCUCUGAACUGCCAGUUACACUGCACAAAAGACUGGGGAAGUGUUAGAGGAAGAUUACGACACUGCUACUCCAUGCCAAAACGUUACACUACGGCUCUGCAGACUGAAGAUUGCCUCACAAGCAGAAAUAUACUCUUUCCAACAAACACUGGUGGAAUGAAAAGGACAUUGGAUUCCUGCUUCCAGUUACUGCUUGCCCUUCCCUGACUUUGUGACCUGAGGCAAGUCCCCAAAUCCCUCUGGGCCCCAGUAUCCUCAUUUUUCAAAUGGAGGAGGGUUAGAAUUAAGAUGCAAUCAUGCAUCCAGUUGUUUUCCAAAGCAUUGUCCAGCUAGGGAAGUGGUAGCACGUGGUGACUGAGAGCUUCCCCGAUCCUUUUAGAUCAAAGAACACUUCUAUGCCUUUGUGCAACUGGUGUGCUGUGGGUACAGGUACUUUUACAUCCUCUAGUUAGUGAGUGCAAAGUACUCUUGGAAGCUCCCAAGCACUCAAGGUUUCAAUCUGCAUUCUUCUCCUCUAUAUGCACUUUAUAUUUCAGGUUUUAUAGUUUGAGGAUUUGAAAGGUAAGAAAAGUGUGAGCUACAGAUUUUGGAAGAAUCCAGGAGCUGAGCUCAUAGCUAAGAACAUGUCAGGGGUGUUAAGCAGCUCUGAAGUAUGUAACAAAGGCCAUUUAGGUCUCAGGAGGCUGCCACCAGAACACUACCCGCCCCUCUAGCCCAUGCCAGCCAGGUGGGGGACAGGUGGAAAGAUGGAGAUGUGGACAGCAUCAGAGAUUUUUCAGCUUUCAUAUGCCACAUACUCAUGCUAUGUUUAUGCACACACACACAUACACAUGCACACACACGAUUUAAAUAAAGGUUUUCACUGAAAA